AUAUAUUAUUAGCUACUUUUAGGAGCCAAAAUAACUUUCAGCAAAAGAAUGCGCAUCUUUCAACUUUUUCCUGUUUCGUUUUUUUCCUCGGGUGAAACCCCCUUUUUCUUUUUUUACUGAGACGGCCGCAUUAGCUCAUCGCCAUCACGCCUCCGUGGCCGCCGCUGCCGCUCAAUUGAUCCAUUAGCCGGCCGACAGUGCAUCUCCCGACGAGCUCUGGCGCGCGGCGGGGCAGGGUCUUUGCCCCGCUACUGGUGUUGGUCAUGGCAAUGGUGCGGGCGCGACCCGCGCGGCUGCUAGCGCUGCCGAUGGGCGAUGGUUGCUAUAAUGGUUUCAAUUUUAAGUAGAUGGCUAUGAUGCUGCUGGAGUGGAGACAUGCCACUAUCACUAUGGUUUGCUGCAUCAAAUCUCCCUCGAUUGGGGUAUUUUGUUUAGCUCUCUGUAUUUCCAUUUGUUCUGUUCCUUUGACCAAAUGUACCUUUUUUUCAAUGCUAAAGUUUUAGUUCCAAUCUACUCAGACUUUUAGCACUCCAUAAGCUAUUGUAGGAAUAUGCCAUAAGCUAGUACCUCCCUGGCUCCAUUUGUGUGUUCUCUCAUUGGGCUAUUUGCAUUUUGGUGGCUAGUAUACCACUUCGUUU
Molecule: long non-coding RNA, 638 nt
Organism: Lolium perenne
Lineage: Eukaryota; Viridiplantae; Streptophyta; Magnoliopsida; Poales; Poaceae
Source: RefSeq, a predicted model, not a curated record